UAGGGAAUAUUGCAAAAUGGGCGAAAGCCCGAUGCAGCAACGCCGCGUGGGCGAUGAAGGCCUUCGGGUCGUAAAGCCCUUUUUGAGGGGAUGAGGAAGGACAGUACCCUCAGAAUAAGCCUCGGCUAACUACGUGCCAGCAGCCGCGGUAAAACGUAGGAGGCGAGCGUUAUCCGGAUUUACUGGGCGUAAAGCGCGUGCAGGCGGAUUGGAGAGUUGGAUGUGAAAGCUCCCGGCUUAACUGGGAGAGGUCGUUCAAUACUUCCAGUCUUGAGUGCAGUAGAGGGAAGUGGAAUUCCGGGUGUAGUGGUGAAAUGCGUAGAUAUCCGGAGGAACACCAGUGGCGAAAGCGGCUUCCUGGACUGUAACUGACACUCAGACGCGAAAGCUAGGGUAGCAAACG
This 403-nucleotide ribosomal RNA is filed under the name uncultured bacterium. RNAcentral describes it as "bacterial SSU rRNA". It matches the Rfam family "Bacterial small subunit ribosomal RNA", at positions 355 to 774 of the family's 1533-position model. The record is from RNAcentral.